CAUGCAAGUCGAACGAUGAACCACUUCGGUGGGGAUUAGUGGCGAACGGGUGAGUAACACGUGGGCAAUCUGCCCUGCACUCUGGGACAAGCCCUGGAAACGGGGUCUAAUACCGGAUAUGAGCCUCCAUCGCAUGGUGGGGGCUGUAAAGCUCCGGCGGUGCAGGAUGAGCCCGCGGCCUAUCAGCUUGUUGGUGGGGUAAAGGCUCACCAAGGCAAUGAUCGGUAGCCGGCCCGAGAGGGCACACGGCCACACUGGCACUGAAACACGGGCCAGACUCCUACGGGAGGCAGCAGUGGGGAAUCUUGCACAAUGGGGGAAACCCUGAUGCAGCGACGCCGCGUGAGCGAUGAAGCCCUUCGGGGUGUAAAGCUCUUUCGGCAGGGACGAUAAUGACGGUACCUGAAGAAGAAGCUGCGGCUAACUACGUGCCAGCAGCCGCGGUAAUACGUAGGCAGCGAGCGUUGUUCGGAGUUACUGGGCGUAAAGAGUGCGUAGGCGGUUUUCUAAGUUUGGUGUGAAAUCUCCCGGCUUAACUGGGAGGGUGCGCCGAAAACUGGAAGGCUUGAGUAUGGGAGAGGUAAGCGGAAUUCCUGGUGUAGCGGUGAAAUGCGUAGAUAUCANGAGGAACACCUGCGGUGUAGACGGCUUACUGGACCAUAACUGACGCUGA
RNAcentral lists this ribosomal RNA (673 nucleotides) under uncultured bacterium. RNAcentral describes it as "bacterial SSU rRNA". It matches the Rfam family "Bacterial small subunit ribosomal RNA", at positions 54 to 749 of the family's 1533-position model. The record is from RNAcentral.